This 2903-nucleotide ribosomal RNA is filed under the name Yersinia enterocolitica. RNAcentral describes it as "bacterial LSU rRNA". It matches the Rfam family "Bacterial large subunit ribosomal RNA". The record is from RNAcentral. Lineage: Bacteria; Pseudomonadati; Pseudomonadota; Gammaproteobacteria; Enterobacterales; Yersiniaceae.
UAAGCGACUAAGCGUACACGGUGGAUGCCUAGGCAGUCAGAGGCGAUGAAGGGCGUGCUAAUCUGCGAAAAGCGUCGGUAAGGUGAUAUGAACCGUUAUAACCGACGAUACCCGAAUGGGGAAACCCAGUGCAAUUCGUUGCACUAUUGCAUGGUGAAUACAUAGCCAUGCAAGGCGAACCGGGGGAACUGAAACAUCUAAGUACCCCGAGGAAAAGAAAUCAACCGAGAUUCCCCCAGUAGCGGCGAGCGAACGGGGAGGAGCCCAGAACCUGAAUCAGCAUAUGUGUUAGUGGAAGCGUCUGGAAAGUCGCACGGUACAGGGUGAUAGUCCCGUACACAAAAAUGCAUACGUUGUGAGUUCGAUGAGUAGGGCGGGACACGUGACAUCCUGUCUGAAUAUGGGGGGACCAUCCUCCAAGGCUAAAUACUCCUGACUGACCGAUAGUGAACCAGUACCGUGAGGGAAAGGCGAAAAGAACCCCGGCGAGGGGAGUGAAAUAGAACCUGAAACCGUGUACGUACAAGCAGUGGGAGCACCUUCGUGGUGUGACUGCGUACCUUUUGUAUAAUGGGUCAGCGACUUAUAUUUUGUAGCAAGGUUAACCGAAUAGGGGAGCCGUAGGGAAACCGAGUCUUAACUGGGCGAAUAGUUGCAAGGUAUAGACCCGAAACCCGGUGAUCUAGCCAUGGGCAGGUUGAAGGUUGGGUAACACUAACUGGAGGACCGAACCGACUAAUGUUGAAAAAUUAGCGGAUGACUUGUGGCUGGGGGUGAAAGGCCAAUCAAACCGGGAGAUAGCUGGUUCUCCCCGAAAGCUAUUUAGGUAGCGCCUCGUGAACUCAUCUUCGGGGGUAGAGCACUGUUUCGGCUAGGGGGUCAUCCCGACUUACCAAACCGAUGCAAACUCCGAAUACCGAAGAAUGUUAUCACGGGAGACACACGGCGGGUGCUAACGUCCGUCGUGAAGAGGGAAACAACCCAGACCGCCAGCUAAGGUCCCAAAGUCAUGGUUAAGUGGGAAACGAUGUGGGAAGGCACAGACAGCCAGGAUGUUGGCUUAGAAGCAGCCAUCAUUUAAAGAAAGCGUAAUAGCUCACUGGUCGAGUCGGCCUGCGCGGAAGAUGUAACGGGGCUAAACCAUGCACCGAAGCUGCGGCAGCGACACUUAGGUGUUGUUGGGUAGGGGAGCGUUCUGUAAGCCGUUGAAGGUGACCUGUGAGGGUUGCUGGAGGUAUCAGAAGUGCGAAUGCUGACAUAAGUAACGAUAAUGCGGGUGAAAAACCCGCACGCCGGAAGACCAAGGGUUCCUGUCCAACGUUAAUCGGGGCAGGGUGAGUCGACCCCUAAGGCGAGGCUGAAAAGCGUAGUCGAUGGGAAACAGGUUAAUAUUCCUGUACUUGGUGUUACUGCGAAGGGGGGACGGAGAAGGCUAGGCUAGCCGGGCGACGGUUGUCCCGGUUUAAGCAUGUAGGCGGAGCGACUUGGUAAAUCCGGUUGCUUAUCAACGCUGAGGUGUGAUGACGAGCCACUACGGUGGUGAAGUAGUUGAUGCCAAGCUUCCAGGAAAAGCCUCUAAGCAUCAGGUAACAUUAAAUCGUACCCCAAACCGACACAGGUGGUCAGGUAGAGAAUACUCAGGCGCUUGAGAGAACUCGGGUGAAGGAACUAGGCAAAAUGGUGCCGUAACUUCGGGAGAAGGCACGCUGGCAUUAGGUAAAGGGACUUGCUCCCGGCGCCGAAGCCAGUCGCAGAUACCAGCUGGCUGCAACUGUUUAAUAAAAACACAGCACUGUGCAAACACGAAAGUGGACGUAUACGGUGUGACGCCUGCCCGGUGCUGGAAGGUUAAUUGAUGGGGUCAGCCGCAAGGCGAAGCUCUUGAUCGAAGCCCCAGUAAACGGCGGCCGUAACUAUAACGGUCCUAAGGUAGCGAAAUUCCUUGUCGGGUAAGUUCCGACCUGCACGAAUGGCGUAAUGAUGGCCAGGCUGUCUCCACCCGAGACUCAGUGAAAUUGAACUCGCUGUGAAGAUGCAGUGUACCCGCGGCAAGACGGAAAGACCCCGUGAACCUUUACUAUAGCUUGACACUGAACAUUGAGCCUUGAUGUGUAGGAUAGGUGGGAGGCAUCGAAGUGUGGACGCCAGUCUGCAUGGAGCCAACCUUGAAAUACCACCCUUUAAUGUUUGAUGUUCUAACUCGGCCCCAUAAUCUGGGGUGAGGACAGUGUCUGGUGGGUAGUUUGACUGGGGCGGUCUCCUCCCAAAGAGUAACGGAGGAGCACGAAGGUUAGCUAAUCACGGUCGGACAUCGUGAGGUUAGUGCAAAGGCAUAAGCUAGCUUGACUGCGAGAGUGACGGCUCGAGCAGGUACGAAAGUAGGUCUUAGUGAUCCGGUGGUUCUGAAUGGAAGGGCCAUCGCUCAACGGAUAAAAGGUACUCCGGGGAUAACAGGCUGAUACCGCCCAAGAGUUCAUAUCGACGGCGGUGUUUGGCACCUCGAUGUCGGCUCAUCACAUCCUGGGGCUGAAGUAGGUCCCAAGGGUAUGGCUGUUCGCCAUUUAAAGUGGUACGCGAGCUGGGUUUAGAACGUCGUGAGACAGUUCGGUCCCUAUCUGCCGUGGGCGUUGGAAGAUUGAGAGGGGCUGCUCCUAGUACGAGAGGACCGGAGUGGACGAAUCACUGGUGUUCGGGUUGUCAUGCCAAUGGCAUUGCCCGGUAGCUAAAUUCGGAAGAGAUAACCGCUGAUAGCAUCUAAGCGGGAAACUUGCCUCGAGAUGAGUCUUCCCUGGGGCUUUAAGCCCCCUGAAGGAACGUUAAAGACUAUGACGUUGAUAGGCUGGGUGUGUAAGCGCAGCGAUGCAUUGAGCUAACCAGUACUAAUGAUCCGUGAGGCUUAACCU